RNAcentral lists this ribosomal RNA (115 nucleotides) under Pteropus alecto (black flying fox). Lineage: Eukaryota; Metazoa; Chordata; Mammalia; Chiroptera; Pteropodidae. The record is from RNAcentral.
GUCUAUGGCCAUGCCACCCUGAAUGUGCCUGAUCUCGUCUGAUCUUGGAAGCUAAGCAGCGUUGGGCCUGGUUAGUACUUGGGAGACCACCUAGGAAUAUCAGGUGCUGUAGGCA